RNAcentral lists this ribosomal RNA (1950 nucleotides) under Triticum aestivum (bread wheat). RNAcentral's name for it is "partial small subunit ribosomal RNA". The record is from RNAcentral. Lineage: Eukaryota; Viridiplantae; Streptophyta; Magnoliopsida; Poales; Poaceae.
AUGGCGGUGGCGUGGGAGCACGCUUGGCGCGCGUUGGCUGCAAGGCUCUGCAUCCCCUCACGGGCGCAAUGUGCGGGUGGCACUACGGGGGCACUGCUGGAGGACGACGAGUCGCCGGAUGCUCUGUCCCCUGUGCCGGUGUGCAAACAGGCGGUGUCGAGGUCCGGGAGUCGGAGCUCAACGGAGCUAUGCGCGAUUUGCCUGGGUGGCAUGAGGCCGGGGCACGGCCAUGCGUUGUUCACCGCGGAAUGCUCCCACAAGUUCCAUUUUCGAUGUAUCUCAUCCAACGUGCAGCAUGGCAACCGUGCCUGUCCCAUAUGCCGUGCCGUCUGGAAGCAUCUACCUCUCCCAGCCAAAGCGGAUGCUACUCCACUGGAUUGGCCCGAUGAUCAGCUUCCCGUCUCCUGUGCGCCGGAUUUGAGCGUUUUCGAAUCUAAGACUACGAGUGGAAAACGAGAGGAGGACGCAGUUGGGGCUUCUGGUGUUGAGGUCGUGUCGUUCGCUGAAUUCCCAUACAUUCAGCGGAGCGUGACAUCGGAGAAGUUUGACAUCCUGAUCCACCUGAAGGCUCCGCGUCCGCCGGCACCGUCUGCGAGCUCACACACCGGGGCGGCGAUCGACAUUCUGGCGGUGCUCGACCUGAGCGGCAGCAUGGCGGGCAAUAAGCUCGCGCUCUUGACGCGCGUUCUGAGCUUCGUGAUCAAGAGCCUUGGCCCGAACGACCGGCUCUCUGUCAUCGCCUUCCGACAUUCGGCUUGGAGCCUCUUCCCAUUUCGGAAGAUGACCGCGGCUGGGCGGCGGCAUUCGUUCCAGGCCCUCGCCGACGGACUCCCUGUUGCCGGCGGCGUCUCGAAUGUCGCCGAGGCUCUGCGGAAAGCAGCGUGGGUGACGGGGGACCGGCAGGUCAGGAACCCCGCAUGCAGCGUCCUCCUUCUCUCCGACGGCCUAGGCGGCCGUGAAGCCGCGACGUGGCAAUGCGGUCGGCCAAGCCUGGUCUACGACGCGCUCGUCCCGCGCUCCAUCUGCCCGGGGUCAGGGCACCACGUGCGGGUCCACGCCUUCGGCUUGGGUGCGUACCAGGACUCUGCGGUGAUGCGCGGCAUCGCUGAGAUGUCCGGCGGCACGUUCUCCUCCAUCGACACGGUGGGAGAGAUCCCGGACGUGGUUGGUCGGUACAUCGGUGGCCUGCGCAGCGUGGUGGCGCAGGAGACACGGCUGAGCUUCCACUGCGCGGAGCAAGGCGUGCUGCUCACCUGCGUCGCGUCCGGCGGCUACGCCAGCACUGUAGACGGUCACAAGGGUGGCGAGUUCGUCGACGUCGGCGACCUUUACGCCGGAGAGGAGAGGAACAUUCUGGUCACAGUACACGUCCCAACCACGCAUGGAAAAGACUCUGCUCUGCUCGUGCCGAGCUGCACCUACCGGGUCGCGGUCACCAUGGAGACUGUCUGCAUAGAAGGUGACACGGUGAUCGUCCAUCGCCCUCGGCAUCCGGUGAGCCCAUCUCCGUUGUCAGUCGAGGUCGAGCGUGAGCGGCACCGCAUCAGCGCCAUGGAGGGCAUGGCCAUGGCGUGGAACGCCGUGGAGCUAGGCGACUUCGUGCACGCAGCAAUGAUCUUGGAAGGGCGCCGUGUGGAGCUUGAGUCAUGGGCGUUGUUGUCGGUGGACGCGCCGACUCUGGCGCUGGUCGCCGAGCUGAGGGAGUUCCAGGACAGGUUGGGGACAAGGCAACGGUACAAGCGGUCCGGCCGCGCGUACAUACUGGCCGCCCUGAACGCUCACCCGUGGCAGUGCGUCACGGCAAGCGGCGGCGACUCGGGGUUGCUCCUGCCCGAAGCCGUCGAGGAGCUGACCCGCUCGACGCCGGUGGCGCCAUCCAGCAUCCUCACCUUGCCGGUCGGUCAGGACGACCAGGGUUCUCCCGGUGGCACCAUGACUCUGACUUGUUAA